UGAAUUCAUCUCCGGGGGUAGAGCACUGUUUCGGCUAGGGGGCCAUCCCGGCUUACCAACCCGAUGCAAACUGCGAAUACCGGAGAAUGUUAUCACGGGAGACACACGGCGGGUGCUAACGUCCGUCGUGAAGAGGGAAACAACCCAGACCGCCAGCUAAGGUCCCAAAGUCAUGGUUAAGUGGGAAACGAUGUGGGAAGGCCCAGACAGCCAGGAUGUUGGCUUAGAAGCAGCCAUCAUUUAAAGAAAGCGUAAUAGCUCACUGGUCGAGUCGGCCUGCGCGGAAGAUGUAACGGGGCUAAACCAUGCACCGAAGCUGCGGCAGCGACACUGUGUGUUGUUGGGUAGGGGAGCGUUCUGUA
RNAcentral lists this ribosomal RNA (362 nucleotides) under Salmonella enterica. RNAcentral describes it as "partial 23S ribosomal RNA". It matches the Rfam family "Bacterial large subunit ribosomal RNA", at positions 885 to 1245 of the family's 2925-position model. Lineage: Bacteria; Pseudomonadati; Pseudomonadota; Gammaproteobacteria; Enterobacterales; Enterobacteriaceae. The record is from RNAcentral.